Molecule: ribosomal RNA, 403 nt
Filed under: Fusobacteriota bacterium
Lineage: Bacteria; Fusobacteriati; Fusobacteriota
Description: Fusobacteria bacterium partial 16S ribosomal RNA
Rfam family: Bacterial small subunit ribosomal RNA
Source: RNAcentral
UGGGGAAUAUUGCACAAUGGAGGGAACUCUGAUGCAGCGACGCCACGUGAACGAAGAAGGCUUUCGAGUCGUAAAGUUCUUUUAUAUGGGAAGAUAAUGACGGUACCAUAAGAAAAAGCCCCGGCUAACUACGUGCCAGCAGCCGCGGUAAUACGUAGGGGGCUAGCGUUGUCCGGAAUCACUGGGCGUAAAGGGUUCGCAGGCGGAAAUGCAAGUCAGGUGUAAAAGGCAGUAGCUUAACUACUGUAAGCAUUUGAAACUGCAUAUCUUGAGAAGAGUAGAGGUAAGUGGAAUUUUUAGUGUGGCGGUGAAAUGCGUAGAUAUUAAAAAGAAUACCGGUGGCGAAGGCGACUUACUGGGCUCAUUCUGACGCUGAGGAACGAAAGCGUGGGUAGCAAACAGG